RNAcentral lists this transfer RNA (65 nucleotides) under Phanerotoma flava. RNAcentral's name for it is "tRNA-Pro". The record is from RNAcentral. Lineage: Eukaryota; Metazoa; Arthropoda; Insecta; Hymenoptera; Braconidae.
CAAAAAAUAGUUUAUAAUAAAAUAUUAAUUUUGGAAAUUAAUGAAAUAUUUAUGUAUUUUUUUGA